UUUCUUCUUCCAUUCUCUCCAAAUUCACCUCUAUUCUUCUUCAGUUUAACGAUUAAAGUUUGGUUGAAAAUAUUUGAAUUGUGAUUAAAGUUUGCUUGAAAGGGUGAUUAAAGAAACCACAAACUGAAGAUGAGCCUUCAUUAAAGAGGACAAGAGGAAGACCAAGAAAAACAUCUAUUCCACCUGCAUCACCUAGUACUUCUGCAGUAUCCAAUGCAUCUGCAGCACCUUGUGCACCUCAUAUAUAUCCAACACCUGUUGAUUACCCUGAAUUCUCUUCUACACCUCCUAAUUAUCAUGCAUCUUCAAGACCUACUAAUAUCCAAAGAGGAAGGGGUAGACAUAUGGGAAGGCCAACAAUCAUUGAAAGGGAUUUGUUUCAAGCUGAAAAUGGAUCAAAGUCCUUAAUCCUAGUAUGCCAACUUGUAAGAUCUUCUCUAUUGGUACAACAAAGGUGACAAGAUCAACUGAUAUUACUGGUGAUAUUGGUUUCAAACCAAGUACUACAAGUAAGCUGAAAUAAAAUGGAAGAGUAGCUAUCGCAACAAGAAAACUUGAAGAAAUGAGAAUGAAACAAAGAAAAAAAUCAAUAGAAAGCAGUUCAAAUAAUCCAAUUCAAAAUGACACUUUUUGACAAUUUAGGAAGCAAUGAUAUUGCAGUAUUGUUUUA
Solanum dulcamara is the source of this 670-nucleotide long non-coding RNA. RefSeq lists it as uncharacterized. Lineage: Eukaryota; Viridiplantae; Streptophyta; Magnoliopsida; Solanales; Solanaceae. The transcript has 3 exons. The record is from RefSeq and is a predicted model, not a curated record.